This is a long non-coding RNA of Diceros bicornis minor, 759 nucleotides long. RefSeq lists it as uncharacterized. The record is from RefSeq and is a predicted model, not a curated record. NCBI's taxonomy places the organism in Eukaryota, Metazoa, Chordata, Mammalia, Perissodactyla, Rhinocerotidae. The transcript has 4 exons.
ACUGCAAAUCCAGGUUAGCUGAUGGCUCGGAGUGUUUCUCUGGAGGAAGCUGUCUUUGGAGAGCACUUAUUCUGGGAGAAGCAAGCCCUAUUGUGAGCAGCCUUAUGGAGAGCUCCACGUGGUAAGGAAAUGAAGUUUCCAGCCAACGGCCAGCAAGGAACUGAGCCCUGUCAACAAGAAUAAAUGUACUUUAACUGGAUCUUGAGCCUCAAGGUGACUGCAGCCCCGGCCAACAACUUGGCUGUAACUUCAUGAGAGACUCUGAGCCAGAACCCCCAAGGUAUCAGGGUGAACGAUUCUGGCCUGGAAGCAGUUCAGUCAGCUGAACCACUCAAAGGGCCUGGUCACACCUGUGUCUCGCCUUCGUGCCUCGGUUUCUGCAGAAACAAUGCACAAAGGUCUUCUUGUAAAAUUCCAAGGUAUAAAUGUAUGUGAAGCAAGACAUGAAAGAUCCCACUUUUUCCUCAAAUGUUUAAGAGUGAAAAUCCACGUGGAACCUGGCGACGCCAUGAAGAGUCCAGUUGAAGGUGAAAAGUGUCCCAGGCCGUGGGAAGCAGGUGAGAGAAGAGAGCACAGCACUGUCCUUCCUCCCAGUGGAUGUGGUAACAAUGCCUGGGACAGGAUUUGCUUUUAGACACCAUCUAACAGGCAUACAUUAAGAAUUAUCUGUUAUCUCGUAAGACUUUUUUGUUUGUUUUUUAAGAAGAAGGUACAGAGAUUUCUUGUAUAAGCCCCUGCCCACGCACCUGCAUAGCUACC